This 2008-nucleotide long non-coding RNA is filed under the name Mytilus galloprovincialis (Mediterranean mussel). The record is from RNAcentral. Lineage: Eukaryota; Metazoa; Mollusca; Bivalvia; Mytilida; Mytilidae.
CAAAUGUUUUACCUGUGAUACCAGGUAUAUGAUUUUAGGGUCAGACAAUACACAAAACUAUGGACGUUCACAUUUGGCUAUGCCAAUAUUUGAUAUUUGAUUUCACCUUUAGUUUUUUAUGUGAGUAUUGAUGAUUUAAGAUUGAUGUACAUACAUUUAGUAAAAUAGAAUAUUAUUUGGUGAGUUGAAAAGUAGGUUUGAGUAUAGUAUGCAUGUUUUUAUUAUUUAAAUUUUAAAACGUUUUAUAAGCAGAGUCCCAGCUGGUCAACAUUCGUUUGUGUAUCAUCCAUCAAAAUAUGUUGACCAUCCAUGGGCCAUAUUUUCGACGCCUUGAAUGUAUGGUUAUAAGUCUUUUUAACUAAAUAACCGAGAGCAAGACAUGUUAUUAAUAGGCAUCCGUUACACAUGCUUUAUGCGGCGUUGUUUGAAACCUAUAGUGCAAAAUUUAUCACAGUAAUUCCGUUUUGAUGAUACGAUAGUCAUUAUCAAUAUUGUAUUGUACCCUAUCAGUUCCAAUCGUUAUCACUUUGUGUAAACAUUAAACCGAACGUUAAGAGUUAAAAGUUCAAACUAUUAAUUUUCUUCCUGUAGGCGUUACUGUCACUAUGUGACAAUACUUCCCCUAUUAAAGGGUUUGUAAAUAAUGUAGUAUAUUUUACGAUGAUGAAGAUUCAUAAAAGCUAAAUUACUUUACAUACACGAUUUACAGAAAUUAAACCAUGAAUAACUCGAUCAUUUUUCUCUGAAUAGACUGUCUUCGUAUUAACUUUAAUGGCAGUAUUUUACUCGUUUUCAAACAAAAUUUAUAAAAACAACCAUACCAUACGAAUAGCCAAAAACAAACAAGUACAAGUAGUAGUCACUAAUUGUUUCGUAAAUCGUGUAUGUAAAGUAAUUUAACUUUUAUGAAUCUUCAUCAUCGUAAAAUAUACUACAUAAUUUAUAAACCCGGUAAUAAUUGUAUGUAUAGUUGUACGGAAACAUGAUAUUACACAAGUACUUGAUUAACAUCUAUCUACCCUGGUUACAUGUGAAAUAAAUGUUUUUGAUAAUUUUUAAAUAUGUGUUUUAAAAGAAACUGUACACCUUUUUAGAAAAAAAAUAAAUUUUUUUUUGUUUUUUUUUUUGUGUUAUGAAAAUUUCUAUCAAAACAUAAUAGUUUACAAAAUACACGCUAACAUUGGCAAACUAUUAUCAGUAUUUAUUUCACGUAAUCACCUACACUGAAACAUUAUUGACAAAAGUGAAUGUCUGUUUUAUAGCAUCUCUUUGGUGAUGUGGAACGUGUUCUUAAGGUUGUAGCCUGUUAUCUCUUUUGUGUAUGACAAGAUAUUUCACUGCAUGAAAUGUGAUUCGAAAAACAAGGUGAUCGUAUUUUCUGAACCAGCAUCAUCAGUCGAUAUUGCAACUUUUUAAUUUCCUAUUCGUUAUGUCAAGGUUUCAUUUCAGAGUUUAAGACGAUUUUUAUUUUGUCCAUGUCAAUGGCAUAUGGGAGUUAUUCAAUAUCAUACAUGACACUCACAAUGUUUCUCUAAAAAUAAAUCUGUUCAGUUCUAUUACAUUGUGAAGCUCACAACAGGUUUUAUAUAGAUAGAAGAAGAUAAGGUAUGAGUGCCAAUGAGACAACUCUCAAUCAAGUCACAAUUUGUAAAAGAAAAAAAGCAUUAUAACAUGUUUAACACGGCUACCGAAAAUAGUAUUGAUUGUUUGCAGAUAUACAAUUAUGUAACAUAGUUGUCAUCAUUUUUAAAAGAAAAUAGUGUCACCAACAAAUUAUCAAGUCAAACUAUAAAGUCUCUGUUUUUACAUGUUAAAAAUCUUGUUACAUUUCAGGUGCACAGAGAAAACUUUUGAUUGCAACACAAAAUGCCUCUAUUAAGGAAAUUGAUCUUCAAACACGCACAGUGACUGUAUUGUAUGAACUUGGAGAUACAGCGUAUUCAAUUGAUUACGAUAGUAAAAAUAGACAAGUUUACUUUCCAAGAUAUUUUAACAACGACAUAAUGAG